UCUGAUUGGCUAGUGUAGGAAUUUUACAUUCCUAAGUGUUUCGGUUCAGAGAGUUCUUGCAAUAUCUAUCGAAUCUCUGAGUCUUUCAUGGACACACAUAACAGUGUGGUUUUGAUGCGUUAGCUGUUUGUUUGAGACUUUAAGCUUGUUCAUUAGGUGUUAGGCUUCAAAGAACAGAUUCAAAUCUUGAGUUGUUAGUUAGUUUCUAACCUCUAUUUUUGCAGUGUUAUCCUACUUCCCAUUUGCGAUUUAACUAUCUAUGUAACAUGGUGGUUUAUUCACUUUGUUGAUGGAUUCUUCUCUCCCAUAUAUGCCCAACUUGGAAUCCAUAUAUUUGAUCAAAAUACACAAAGAAGUUGCAAUCUUCAGGCAUCCACGAAUAGGAGAUACUGCCCCAUCGAGCCAAAUCAAAGUGUACUCAGAGAAGGAGCUGAAACGUAAUUUAAGGAAGUUGCUUCAACAUUGUUGCAGGAGGUACAUGCUUAAUCAAUUUUUUUCUUGUCGUCUCCUUUUACUUUGAUUGCUAUCCAUGAUAUGUUCUCCUAGUCCUAGUCAGUGGAUGAAUUUUUCUAGUGUCAUAUCUCAUUAGAUCUUUCUCAGUACUUGUAAUGUGAUUAUGUUUACAUUGGUAGUAUCAAAUUAUUUGUAUGUCCAUCUAUCAUUCUCCCAUGUAUCUUUAAAGCUGUUAAUAUAUUGAAUAAUAAUUUUCCUCCUCACCAUCUGUCCGUGAGAGACGCGACGCUCCCAGCCUUUCAUUUUCUCAUGGGAGGAUCUCAGUCUGGAAAGUGUGUUACUAUCUAGCAAGCAUAAGGGUCAGUGCAAUUGAAACUAUGCUCCGAGGACUGCAUGUAUCUGAUAGACAGAAUCCUGCAGCCCUUCGUUAGAAGUUGUUUGGAUCUAGUGCAGGAGUUGACCCUCCAUCAUCUGGUGAUCCUCCAUUUCAUGCUUCUGUCACAGCAUCCAAUAGUCUAACAAAUAGUACAACCGCUGAAUCAAUUCCUAGUAUUAGCAGAGGCGGGUGUUUGCAGUGGUGUCUUUGGUUUGUCAAUAUCAUCACCCAAAUACAAGCUUCAAAGGACUCAGAGGAAGACAAUCAUCCCGUGGAACUCAGGGAAGUUGGAUAAGAGUAUUCCUGAGAGUUUUGACAGCUCAGACACUCAGUGUUCUCUUAUUAAUUAUGCUUGGAAAAUGUAGUCACGAGAGUCCCCACUUUUCAGUGUGGACUUGAAUUUGAAUAUAAUAAACCCAAGUCACAAGAUGAAAACAAGUCUGAUUCUUUGCAGACAGUGUCAGAUUUUCAGUGGGUGUGUUGAGUUCUAAGUCCUGCAUUCCGAAUUA
Molecule: long non-coding RNA, 1338 nt
Organism: Raphanus sativus (radish)
Lineage: Eukaryota; Viridiplantae; Streptophyta; Magnoliopsida; Brassicales; Brassicaceae
Exons: 3
Source: RefSeq, a predicted model, not a curated record